UUUCUUGCUUAAAUCUAUUUUAUUGGUACCUAGUAAAGAUUACUUCUUGUUAGUUUCAAACUCCCCUUACUUUUUAAUUGUUUAAGAGCAUAUCUCUGCCUUGUGAAAUGAGAACAUGCUGGAAGAUCUAUUUUAGAAAGUUAAUUAGACUAGUAAUUUUUGUUGAAUUUUCUCUUUCCACAUUUGUAAUUAUUGGUGUUCAAGUGACGCAAAUUUUAAUUGUUUUGCUAGGUGAAUGGCUAUCUGGUUCAGCAGGGAUGGGCUUUACUCCACAUAUCAUCACCAUUGCAGUAGGAGAA
This 299-nucleotide unclassified non-coding RNA is filed under the name Hevea brasiliensis (rubber tree). Lineage: Eukaryota; Viridiplantae; Streptophyta; Magnoliopsida; Malpighiales; Euphorbiaceae. The record is from RNAcentral.